AGACUCUCCUGCCUGGAGAUACCAUGAUCACAAAGGUGGUUUUCCCAGGGCAAGGCUUAUCCAUCGCACUUUCUCGAUGUGCUGAUCCCUGCAAUUUCUCCAAAUGUGGGAAACUCAACUGCAUAAUUUGUAGUAGUGGGGGACUGUGUUCGUGUUCUCCCCUG
Molecule: non-coding RNA, 164 nt
Organism: Erinaceus europaeus (western European hedgehog)
Lineage: Eukaryota; Metazoa; Chordata; Mammalia; Eulipotyphla; Erinaceidae
Source: Rfam